Molecule: ribosomal RNA, 314 nt
Filed under: uncultured bacterium
Lineage: Bacteria
Description: partial 16S ribosomal RNA
Rfam family: Bacterial small subunit ribosomal RNA
Source: RNAcentral
GGGGAAUAUUGGACAAUGGGGGCAACCCUGAUCCAGCAAUGCCGCGUGUGUGAAGAAGGUCUUCGGAUUGUAAAGCACUUUCGACGGGGACGAUGAUGACGGUACCCGUAGAAGAAGCUCCGGCUAACUUCGUGCCAGCAGCCGCGGUAAUACGAAGGGGGCUAGCGUUGCUCGGAAUGACUGGGCGUAAAGGGCGUGUAGGCGGUUUACACAGUCAGAUGUGAAAUCCCCGGGCUUAACCUGGGAGCUGCAUUUGAUAUGUGUAGACUAGAGUGUGAGAGAGGGUUUGUGGAAUUCCCAGUGUAGAGGUGAAA